GACGAACGCUGGCGGCGUGCUUAACACAUGCAAGUCGAACGGAAAGGCCCCUUCGGGGGUACUCGAGUGGCGAACGGGUGAGUAACACGUGAGUAACCUGCCCUUGACUUCGGGAUAACUUCAGGAAACUGGGGCUAAUACCGGAUAGGAAUCCUUGCUGCAUGGUGGGGGUUGGAAAGCUUCGGCGGUUUUGGAUGGACUCGCGGCUUAUCAGCUUGUUGGUGGGGUAGUGGCUUACCAAGGCUUUGACGGGUAGCCGGCCUGAGAGGGCGACCGGCCACAUUGGGACUGAGAGACGGCCCAGACUCCUACGGGAGGCAGCAGUGGGGAAUAUUGCACAAUGGGCGGAAGCCGGAUGCAGCAACGCCGCGUGCGGGAUGACGGCCUUCGGGUUGUAAACCGCUUUCAGCAGGGGCGAAGCUUGUGGUGACGGUACCUGCAGAAGAAGCACCGGCUAACUACGUG
RNAcentral lists this ribosomal RNA (465 nucleotides) under uncultured bacterium. RNAcentral describes it as "partial 16S ribosomal RNA". It matches the Rfam family "Bacterial small subunit ribosomal RNA", at positions 28 to 507 of the family's 1533-position model. The record is from RNAcentral.